RNAcentral lists this ribosomal RNA (524 nucleotides) under uncultured bacterium. RNAcentral describes it as "partial 16S ribosomal RNA". It matches the Rfam family "Bacterial small subunit ribosomal RNA", at positions 28 to 523 of the family's 1533-position model. The record is from RNAcentral.
GACGAACGCUGGCGGCGUGCCUAAUACAUGCAAGUCGAGCGCAGGAAACUGACGGAACUCUUCGGAGGGAAGGCAGUGGAAUGAGCGGCGGACGGGUGAGUAACACGUAAGGAACCUGCCUCAAGGAUUGGGAUAACUCCGAGAAAUCGGAGCUAAUACCGGAUAGUUCAUCGGACCGCAUGGUCCGCUGAUGAAAGGCGCUCCGGCGUCACCUUGAGAUGGCCUUGCGGUGCAUUAGCUAGUUGGUGGGGUAACGGCCCACCAAGGCGACGAUGCAUAGCCGACCUGAGAGGGUGAUCGGCCACACUGGGACUGAGACACGGCCCAGACUCCUACGGGAGGCAGCAGUAGGGAAUCUUCCACAAUGGACGAAAGUCUGAUGGAGCAACGCCGCGUGAGUGAUGAAGGUUUUCGGAUCGUAAAACUCUGUUGUAAGGGAAGAACACGUACGAGAGGGAAUGCUCGUACCUUGACGGUACCUUACGAGAAAGCCACGGCUAACUACGUGCCAGCAGCCGCGGUAA